Long non-coding RNA from Pteropus alecto (black flying fox), 343 nucleotides. RefSeq lists it as uncharacterized. NCBI's taxonomy places the organism in Eukaryota, Metazoa, Chordata, Mammalia, Chiroptera, Pteropodidae. The transcript is spliced from 2 exons. The record is from RefSeq and is a predicted model, not a curated record.
GAGGGCUUGCUAGGAAGGAUGCACAUCACCCAGGGUUUACUUCUUGCUGGAAGCCUGCGUGAGAUGCCGUAACCAGCUGGGGCGGCGGGGACCACAGAGGCAACAACGGUGGCCAAGUCUGCCUGUCAGUUCUGCCUUCGGUUCUCCGGCAAGUCGUGGGGGGGAAAAAAAUAAAAAACAGCUGGCCGGCGGGAGCGAGCCACCCAGGAACUCAACCCUGAUUUCUAACAAACGUCAGAUUUAAGAAGAUGGAGACUAGACUCGAGAGAAGUUCCAAAUCCGAGAACAGGGGACCCAUGUUUCCACAGCUUUUUUCAAAUAAAUUUUACUAAUCUUCCUACAA